UAUUUUUUAAUAAAAGUUUUCAGAAAAAUUCAUAAUAUUAUAAGAAUCACUCCAAAAAAAUUAGAAUUUUUUAACAAAACAUAAAUUUAAUAUGAAUUUUUAUAUUUUUUACGGUUAAAAAUUCAUAUUUAAUUUGUGUUUUUUAAAAAGUUCUAUUUUUUUUUAGCAAAUUUUUUUAGAAUAUUUUACACAUUUCGGCACAAUUUCAUUAAAAAAAUACAAAAAUUAAAUUAAAAAUAGG
Molecule: long non-coding RNA, 241 nt
Filed under: Medicago truncatula (barrel medic)
Lineage: Eukaryota; Viridiplantae; Streptophyta; Magnoliopsida; Fabales; Fabaceae
Description: lncRNA gene11176
Source: RNAcentral